This 262-nucleotide ribosomal RNA is filed under the name uncultured archaeon. RNAcentral describes it as "partial 16S ribosomal RNA". It matches the Rfam family "Archaeal small subunit ribosomal RNA", at positions 748 to 1009 of the family's 1478-position model. The record is from RNAcentral.
CAGCCGUAAACUAUGCGCGUUAGGUGUAUCGGUGACCACGAGUCACCGAGGUGCCGAAGGGAAACCGUGAAACGUGCCGCCUGGGAAGUACGGUCGCAAGGCUGAAACUUAAAGGAAUUGGCGGGGGAGGCACUACAACGGGUGGAGCCUGCGGUUUAAUUGGACUCAACGCCGGGAAGCUCACCGGAUAAGACAGCGGAAUGAUUGCCGGGCUGAAGACUCUGCAUGACUAGCUGAGAGGAGGUGCAUGGCGUAGACGUCU